GCCAGUGUGGCAUAGUGGUUUAAGUGCUGGCCUACAACUUUGGAGACCAGGGUUCAAUUCCCCGCUCAGCCA
Non-coding RNA from Phrynosoma platyrhinos (Desert horned lizard), 72 nucleotides. The record is from the annotation of a GenBank genome assembly. Lineage: Eukaryota; Metazoa; Chordata; Lepidosauria; Squamata; Phrynosomatidae.